GACUGAUGUUGCCCAGUUUUGUAGAACCUGCUCUCAGUGCCAAUUAACCUCCAAUAAGUUCCCUUCAAGAGCACCACUGCAGCCUCUUCCCUUAAUUGACACGCCUUUUGAGCGCUUGGGUAUGGACAUUGUGGGUCCACUUGAAAGAAGCAAAUCUGGAUACUGAUAUAUGUUGGUGAUAACAGAUUAUGCAACCAAGUACCCAGAAGUGUUCCCUUUAAAGACAAUUAAAGCAAGAGCCGUGGCUGUCUCCUUGGUGCAACAUUUUUCAAGGGUUGGAUUUCCCUGUGAAAUUGUGACAGACCAAGGCACUAACUUCAUGUCUGCUCUCCUAAAGCAGGUAUAUCAGCUACUGGGGAUUAAGGGUGUUCGAACUACCCCUUAUCAUCCACAGACGGAUGGGCUCACGGAGAGAUUCAACCAAACACUGAAGCAAAUGCUACAGAAGUACCACAGGCCUCCACCGGGUUCUCUCCCUUUGAACUUUUAUACGGUCAUGAGAUGAGAGAGAGACUACAAAAGAUGACGGCUCUAGCCCAGCAGCACAUGGCAGAAGCACAAAAGUACCAGAAGGCUUGGUACGACAAGUCAGCCCGGCAGAGGACCUUUGUCCCAGGCCAGAAGGUUCUGGUUAUGCUACCAUCU
Xiphophorus hellerii (green swordtail) is the source of this 645-nucleotide long non-coding RNA. RefSeq lists it as uncharacterized. NCBI's taxonomy places the organism in Eukaryota, Metazoa, Chordata, Actinopteri, Cyprinodontiformes, Poeciliidae. The record is from RefSeq and is a predicted model, not a curated record. The transcript has 3 exons.